GACGAACGCUGGCGGCGUGCUUAACACAUGCAAGUCGAACGGAAAGGCCCUGCUUUUGAGGCGAGCUCCAAUGGCGAAAGGAAGACUAACACGAGAUUCACCGGCCCUUGACAUUGGCAUGACUUCCUGAAACUGGUGCUAAAAACGAACACCAACUCCUGCUGGAUGGGGGGAAUUAUAAAUCUUUCGGCGGAUGGGGAUGGACUCUACCCUUAUGAUCUUGUUGGAAGGGUCAAGGCUUACCACGACUUUGACCCGAACUCGGCCUGAGACGGUGACCGGUGCACAUUGAGACUGAGAUACGACCCCUACUCCUAGCGGAGGCGGCAAAUGUGGAAUAUUGCACAAAGGGCUGAAGCCUGAUCCCCCACCGACGCGAUGACGGACGACGGCCUUCAGGUCGCAUACCGCUUUCACCAGUCACAAAUCACGAGUGACGCUAAUGAGUAAACAACUACCUGCUAACUACCUGCCACCAUCCUCCGUGAUACGUAAGGUGCGAGCGUAGUCACGAUUUAUUGAGAGUUCAGAGGUCGUAUGUGGCUGAUAUCGUCAGAACCGUCAUCUCGACUGCUUAGCCCGGAGCGUGCUUUCGAUACGGGCAGACUUGAGUACUGCAGGGGAGACUGGAAUUCCUGGUGGAACGGUGAAAUGCGCAGAUAUCAGGAGGAACACCGGUGGCGAAGGCGGGUCUCUGGGCAGUAACUGACGCUGAGGAACGAAAGCGUGGGUAGCGAACAGGAUUAGAUACCCUGGUAGUCCACGCCGUAAACGGUGGGCGCUAGGUGUGGGUUCCUUCCACGGAAUCCGUGCCGUAGCUAACGCAUUAAGCGCCCCGCCUGGGGAGUACGGCCGCAAGGCUAAAACUCAAAGGAAUUGACGGGGGCCCGCACAAGCGGCGGAGCAUGUGGAUUAAUUCGAUGCAACGCGAAGAACCUCUACCUGGGUUUGACAUAUACCGCAAAGCUGCACAGAUGUGGCCCCCCUUGGGGUCGGUUCACAGGUGGUGCAUGGCUGUCGUCAGCUCGUGUCGUGAGAUGUUGGGUUAAGUCCCGCAACGAGCGCAACCCCUAUCUUAUGUUGCCAGCACGUUAUGGUGGGGACUCGUAAGAGACCGCCGGGGUCAACUCGGAGGAAGGUGGGGAUGACGUCAAGUCAUCAUGCCCCUUAUGUCCAGGGCUUCACGCAUGCUACAAUGGCCGGUACAGAGAGUGGCGAGCCCGUGAGGGGGAGCGAAUCUCGGAAAGCCGGUCUCAGUUCGGAUCGGGGUCUGCAACUCGACCUCAUGAAGUCGGAGUCGCUAGUAAUCGCAGAUCAGCAACGCUGCGGUGAAUACGUUCCCGGGCCU
This 1348-nucleotide ribosomal RNA is filed under the name uncultured bacterium. RNAcentral's name for it is "partial 16S ribosomal RNA". It matches the Rfam family "Bacterial small subunit ribosomal RNA", at positions 28 to 1381 of the family's 1533-position model. The record is from RNAcentral.